This 1095-nucleotide long non-coding RNA is filed under the name Capra hircus (goat). RNAcentral's name for it is "lncRNA (ENSCHIG00010015144.1)". Lineage: Eukaryota; Metazoa; Chordata; Mammalia; Artiodactyla; Bovidae. The record is from RNAcentral.
GAACCUAUGUCUCAAGCAUCUCUUAUGUCUCCUGCAUUGGCAGGUGGGUUUUUUGUUGUUGUUGUUUUUACCACUAGCGCCACCUGGGGAAACUUACUCUAGCCACCUGCAUAUGACUUGGCAAAGUGUGAGCCCCUGGAAUCACCUUGUAGAAAUCUAAAAUCUUCCAAAUUGUUUAGUGACCUUGGGAAUUCAUUAAGAACAUCAGGGUCUCUCAUGAGGUAAAUGUUGAAUGGCUAAGGUUGAAGGAGCAGUAGAUUAAACUUUCUUUAUUUCCUUCUCAUUACAUCACAUAAAUGUCUGUGUUCCUGGCCAAAUACAUUAAGGCAAAAAAUAAAAGGAAACUCGAAAUAAUGAUUGAUAACAUGCCAAGCAACUUCAGAACUUUGUUGACAUUUGCUCUCUUGAAUUGUAUCUUAACGACUAUAUAACAUGUAACUCUAAAGAAAUGUAACCUAAAAAAAAAAAAACCCUCACAACAUACUAGAAUAAGUAAAUAUUUAUUAUUUCCUUUGGAGCAGUCAUUCUGGAAUGCUAGCUCUUAACCCAAUAAUUCUGAAGUUAUUCAAAACUAUUUUUCUACUGUCUCUCUGCAAGCAUCUUCAGUUCCGUGUUUGUUAUUUUGAAUGGCUUACGGUGGGCCUUACAGUCUGGCACAUACAUCUUGUCUAGCAUCCUUGUUUUAUGGAGAAAGUUGAUCUGGAAAUUUCAAGUGAUUUGUCCCAAGUCGCAUAAAGCUGGAACCAGAACCAAGAUCUGUUUUCCAGGAGAGCAUUUUUGCCACAGCAUCCUUCUGCCUUUUUCCUUUGUGGGUGGACUUAAUUUUUUGGAAAAAAAAAAAAAAAAAGAUAUUCACAGCAUGAACUAAGCUGACUGGUUCACUCUCUGAAGAGGUUUUUUUUUUUUUCUUGGUUACAAAUCCAGCUUUUGAACAAAGGUUGCUAUUUUGUACAAAGCACAUUUUAAACCUGAUUUUGUUGUUGUGCAGGAAGCGAUCCAAAGAAAGCUUAGGGUUUUAGGUAAACUGGUCAGUACCAGAUCUUGACGGAGAUGUAUUGCUUCUCUUUCUGUUGUUUUAGAGUGGUUUGGUCAGAC